ACGAACGCUGGCGGCGUGCUUAACACAUGCAAGUCGAACGGAAAGGCCCUGCUUUUGUGGGGUGCUCGAGUGGCGAACGGGUGAGUAACACGUGAGUAACCUGCCCUUGACUUUGGGAUAACUUCAGGAAACUGGGGCUAAUACCGGAUAGGAGCUCCUGCUGCAUGGUGGGGGUUGGAAAGUUUCGGCGGUUGGGGAUGGACUCGCGGCUUAUCAGCUUGUUGGUGGGGUAGUGGCUUACCAAGGCUUUGACGGGUAGCCGGCCUGAGAGGGUGACCGGCCACAUUGGGACUGCGAUACGGCCCAGACUCCUACGGUAGGCAGCAGUGGGGAAUAUUGCACAAUGGGCGGAAGCCUGAUGCAGCAACGCCGCGUGCGGGAUGACGGCCUUCGGGUUGUAAACCGCUUUCGCCUGUGACGAAGCGUGAGUGACGGUAAUGGGUAAAGAAGCACCGGCUAACUACGUG
This 467-nucleotide ribosomal RNA is filed under the name uncultured bacterium. RNAcentral describes it as "partial 16S ribosomal RNA". It matches the Rfam family "Bacterial small subunit ribosomal RNA", at positions 29 to 507 of the family's 1533-position model. The record is from RNAcentral.